RNAcentral lists this ribosomal RNA (497 nucleotides) under uncultured bacterium. RNAcentral describes it as "partial 16S ribosomal RNA". It matches the Rfam family "Bacterial small subunit ribosomal RNA", at positions 28 to 507 of the family's 1533-position model. The record is from RNAcentral.
GAUGAACGCUGGCGGCGUGCCUAAUACAUGCAAGUCGAGCGAACGGACGAGAAGCUUGCUUCUCUGGUGUUAGCAGCGGACGGGUGAGUAACACGUGGAUAACCUACCUAUAAGACUGGGAUAACUUCGGGAAACCGGAGCUAAUACCGGAUAAUAUUUUGAACCGCAUGGUUCAAAAGUGAAAGACGGUCUUGCUGUCACUUAUAGAUGGAUCCGCGCUGCAUUAGCUAGUUGGUAAGGUAACGGCUUACCAAGGCAACGAUGCAUAGCCGACCUGAGAGGGUGAUCGGCCACACUGGAACUGAGACACGGUCCAGACUCCUACGGGAGGCAGCAGUAGGGAAUCUUCCGCAAUGGGCGAAAGCCUGACGGAGCAACGCCGCGUGAGUGAUGAAGGUCUUCGGAUCGUAAAACUCUGUUAUUAGGGAAGAACAUAUGUGUAAGUAACUGUGCACAUCUUGAAGGUACCUAAUCAGAAAGCCACGGCUAACUACGUG